UUGAUCUGUGAAUUGAACGCUGGCAGGAUGCUUUACACAUGCAAGUCGAACGGCAGCACGGACUUCGGUCUGGUGGCGGUGAACAGGUGAGUAAUGUAUCGGAACGUGCCUAGUAGCGGGGGAUAACUACGCCAAUGACCGCUAAUACCGCAUACGCUGAGAAAGCAGGGAAGGCCUUCGGGCCUCGCACUAUUAAACCGAUAUCGAUUAGUUGGUGGGGUAACGGCUCACCGGGCGUGACGAUCCGUAGCUGUGGUUGAGGAACGACCAUUACACUGGGACUGAGGCACGGCUGACUCCUGCAGGGAGGCAACGGUGGGGAAUUUUGGACGUGGAAACCUGAUCAGCCAUCCCGCGUGUGCGAUGAAGGCCUUCGGGUUGUAAAGCACUUUUGGCAGGAAAGAAACGGCACGGGAUGUGCCCCGGUAUGGCCGUUACCUGCAGAAUACGCGCAAGCUAACUGCAUUACUUUGGCAGCGCGGUAAUACGUAGGGUACAAGCGUUAAUCAAGUACUGGGCGUAAAAGCGUGCGCAGGCAGUUCGGAAAGAAAGAUGUAGAAAUCCCGGAAGCUUACUUUGGAACUGCAUUUUUAACUACCGAGCUAGAAUUGUGUCAGAGGGAGGUGGAAUUCACACCGAUAGCAGUGAAAUGCGUAAGUUGGAGAACACCGAUGGCGAAGGCGGCCUCCUGGGUUAACACUGACGCUCAUGCACGAAAGCGUGGGGAGCAAACGAGAUUAAGGUCCCUGGUGGUGCGCCCUAAACGAUGUCAACUGGCUAUUUGGAGCCUUCAAGGCCUUGGUAAAGUAAUAACGUGUCAGUUGACCGCCUGGGAAGUGCGGUCGCAAAGUGCAAAACUCAAAGGAAUUGACGGGGACCCGCACAAUAAAUUGGAUGAGUAUGGAUUAAUUCGAUGCAACGCGAAAAGCCUUACCUACCCUUGACGCGUAUGGAUCCGAAGAGAUUUGGGAGUGCUCGCAAGAACUGAGGAACACGAAUUGCUGCGUAACCUCGUCAGCUCGUGUCGUGAAUGUUGGGUUCAGUCCCACCAACAGGCGCAACCCUUGUCGUGGGUGCUACGAGGCACUCUAAUAGGACUGCCGGUGACAAACCCGGAGGAAGGUGGGGAUGACGUCAAGUCCUCAUGGCCCUUAUGGGUAGGACUUACAUUACGCCGCAAUGGUCGGGACAGAGGUCGCCAACCCGCGAGGAGCCCAAUCCCGGCUCCGAUGUAGUCCGGAUCGCAGUCUGCAACUCGACUGCGUGAAGUCAGAAUCGCUAGUAAUCGCGGAUCAGCAUGUCAUGAUCGAAUACGUUCCCGGGUCUUAUGCCCACCGCCCGUCACACCAUGGGAGUGGUUUUACCGAAGUAAGUUAGCCUAACCGUAAGGAGGGCGAUUACCACGGUAGGAUUCAUGACUGGGGUGAAGUGUAACAAAUUAA
RNAcentral lists this ribosomal RNA (1442 nucleotides) under uncultured Bordetella sp. Its description in RNAcentral is "partial 16S-23S ribosomal RNA intergenic spacer". It matches the Rfam family "Bacterial small subunit ribosomal RNA". Lineage: Bacteria; Pseudomonadati; Pseudomonadota; Betaproteobacteria; Burkholderiales; Alcaligenaceae. The record is from RNAcentral.